This 256-nucleotide ribosomal RNA is filed under the name uncultured bacterium. RNAcentral describes it as "partial 16S ribosomal RNA". It matches the Rfam family "Bacterial small subunit ribosomal RNA", at positions 524 to 776 of the family's 1533-position model. The record is from RNAcentral.
CACGUAGGGGGCAAGCGUUGUCCGGAUUUAUUGGGCGUAAAGAGCUCGUAGGCGGUUCGGUAAGUCGGGUGUGAAACCUCCAGGCUCAACCUGGAGUCGCCACUCGAUACUGCUGUGACUAGAGUCCGGGUAGGGGAGCGUGGAAUUCCUGGUGUAGCGGUGAAAUGCGCAGAUAUCAGGAGGAACGCCAGCGGCGAAGGCGGGCGCUCUGGGCCGGAACUGACGCUGAGGAGCGAAAGCGUGGGUAGCAAACAGG